GCUUGCGAAGGAGCUGCGCGAUGUGCGCGCCGCUCAGCGAAACCUCGAGACCGAACUCAGGAACGCCGGGAACGAGCGUCAACGCGCCGACCGCAAGGCGUCGAAAGACCUUCGCGCCGCGCGGCGUGAAACCGAGCGGGCGCCGACUGCGCGACGAACGGCGGACGAGCGGGUCACCUCGUUGAAGAGACAGCUUGCCGCCGCCGAGCGACGCAUCCGUGAACUCGAGGAAGAGGUCGAGAAGGAACGUGGGCGCGCCGAACGGGCAGAAAGAUCGCGGCGCGCCACGGGCGGACCGCCUCGCACGCGUCGCCUGCUCAAGGCACCGAAGGGGUUGCUCGAGGAUGCCCCGGAAACGCUCACCGCCUGGCUGGCGGAGCCGGACGUCUCGCUCGUGAUCGACGGGUACAA
This 411-nucleotide unclassified non-coding RNA is filed under the name plant metagenome. Its description in RNAcentral is "partial contains 5.8S ribosomal RNA, internal transcribed spacer 2, and large subunit ribosomal RNA". The record is from RNAcentral.